This 434-nucleotide ribosomal RNA is filed under the name Tetratermus sp. BIOUG25764-F02. RNAcentral describes it as "partial large subunit ribosomal RNA". The record is from RNAcentral. Lineage: Eukaryota; Metazoa; Arthropoda; Insecta; Hymenoptera; Braconidae.
GUCUUAUUGAAAUUAAUUUUAAGUCCAAUCUGCCCAAUGAUUAAAUUAAAUGGCUGCAGUAUCAAUAACUGUACAAAGGUAGCAUAAUAAUUUGUUUUUUAAUUAAAAACUAGAAUGAAAGAUUAAAUGAAAUAUAAACUAUCUCAAUUUAAAUAAAAAUUAAAUUUAUUAUUUAAGUAAAAAAACUUAAAUAAAAUUAAAAGACGACAAGACCCUAUAGAAUUUUAUUAAUUUAUAUAAAUUUAAUAAUUAAAUUAAUAUUAAAAUUUAUAUAAAUUAAUUUUAUUGGGGUAAUUUAAAAAUUAAAAAAAUUUUUUUAAAAUAUAACAAAUAUAAUUGAAAUAUUAAUCUUAUAAUAUAAAUUAUUAAAAUUAAUUACCUUAGGGAUAACAGCAUAAUUUUUUUUAAAAGUCCUUAUUUACAAAAAAGUUUAU